Suricata suricatta (meerkat) is the source of this 876-nucleotide long non-coding RNA. RefSeq lists it as uncharacterized. The transcript has 6 exons. The record is from RefSeq and is a predicted model, not a curated record. Lineage: Eukaryota; Metazoa; Chordata; Mammalia; Carnivora; Herpestidae.
UUUAAUGCCCACCCGAUCUCCCAGAUAAUACUACUGAGCCUGGUUCCAGCUCACUGCUUUGAGAGGGGAGCCUGGUGGAAGACUAGUCGGCAUCAUAUUUGCACUCUCCCCCAGCCGCACUAUGGAAUGCCAGUAUCUUCCACAGGGGAGCUUUUACAGCAGUGAGGCCUGUGGAGAGCUGGAAAGAAAUAUUUCCUGGAGUUCACCAUCUGUGAGCCAAGCUUUUCUUUUUUCCUUGUGAUGCAACUUAAUGCCUACACUACCCAACUGCAACUUGUGCUUUACAUCGAGUAUUUUGUUUCAUCUUUAAUUUGUAAUCAGUGUACAGGUGCAAGUGAAUAUCAAUUUAAUUUACAAGAUGUGCAGAAGGAAGUCAAAAUAAUACAAAAUUAAUGCUAAAAAGUUUCAGUUCCUGAAGUAAAAUGAUUAUCAUACAGUUUUUCUUUGGGGGUCAAAGUGUCUAACAACAAAAGACAAGAUGCAUGGUGGAAGUUAACAUGGGUGAACUGAUACUACAUGACUCAAAACCCCCAAGCUUAAUUGUAUCACUUGCCCUUUUUUUUCUUUUCUUUUUUAUUUUUUUAUCGCCUGCCCCUGCCUUAAAUCACACUGUUACCUCCCAGAAGACAUUACCUUCAGAAACCUAGGGAGAGGAGUAGACUUCUAUGAGGUUAUCUGCAGUCACCUGCAAUAAAGAAGUACAUGACCUUCCUUCUGACAGAUCAUCAGAAGGUCAAGAUAGUCUCAAACUACGCCACCACACCUAAGUCAUUCACCUCGCUUCAUCUCAUCAUGUAGGCAUUCAUCCAUCACGACCAGUGGUGAAGUGCCACCUGGGCUCAUGAUCUCAGUACACACAGCAAUGCAGGCCCUGGC